GUGACGGUACUGCAGACGAAGCGCGGCUAACUACGUGCCAGCAGCCGCGGUAUACGUAGGGCGCAAGCGUAUCCGGAAUUAUUGGGCGUAAAGAGCUCGUAGGCGGUUUGUCGCGUCUAUCGUGAAAGUCCGAGGCUCAACCUCGGAUCUGCGGUGGGUACGGGCAGACUAGAGUGAUGUAGGGGAGACUGGAGUUCCUGGUGUAGCGGUGAAAUGCGCAGAUAUCAGGAGGAACACCGAUGGCGAAGGCAGGUCUCUGGGCAUUAACUGACGCUGAGGAGCGAAAGCAUGGGGAGCGAACAGGAUUAGAUACCCUGGUAGUCCAUGCCGUAAACGUUGGGCACUAGGCGUGGGGGACAUUCCACGUUUUCCGCGCCGUAGCUAACGCAUUAAGUGCCCCGCCUGGGGAGUACGGCCGCAAGGCUAAAACUCAAAGGAAUUGACGGGGGCCCGCACAAGCGGCGGAGCAUGCGGAUUAAUUCGAUGCAACGCGAAGAACCUUACCAAGGCUUGACAUGUGCCAGACCGCCGUGGAAACACGGUUUCCCCUUUGGGGCUGGUUCACAGGUGGUGCAUGGUUGUCGUCAGCUCGUGUCGUGAGAUGUUGGGUUAAGUCCCGCAACGAGCGCAACCCUCGUUCUAUGUUGCCAGCACGUGAUGGUGGGGACUCAUAGGAGACUGCCGGGGUCAACUCGGAGGAAGGUGGGGACGACGUCAAAUCAUCAUGCCCCUUAUGUCUUGGGCUUCACGCAUGCUACAAUGGCCGGUACAAUGGGUUGCGAUACUGUGAGGUGGAGCUAAUCCCAAAAAGCCGGUCUCAGUUCGGAUUGGGGUCUGCAACUCGACCCCAUGAAGUCGGAGUCGCUAGUAAUCGCAGAUCAGCAACGCUGCGGUGAAUACGUUCCCGGGCCUUGUACACACCGCCCGUCAAGUCACGAAAGUUGGUAACACCCGAAGCCGGUGGCCUAACCCCUUGUGGGAGGGAGCCGUCGAAGGUGGGGCUGGA
Molecule: ribosomal RNA, 1006 nt
Filed under: uncultured Actinomycetes bacterium
Lineage: Bacteria; Bacillati; Actinomycetota; Actinomycetes
Description: bacterial SSU rRNA
Rfam family: Bacterial small subunit ribosomal RNA
Source: RNAcentral